This 482-nucleotide ribosomal RNA is filed under the name uncultured bacterium. RNAcentral's name for it is "partial 16S ribosomal RNA". It matches the Rfam family "Bacterial small subunit ribosomal RNA", at positions 30 to 507 of the family's 1533-position model. The record is from RNAcentral.
AUUGAACGCUGGCGGCAUGCCUUACACAUGCAAAUCGAACGGUAACGGGCCUUCGGGUGCCGACGAGUGGCGCACGGGUGAGUAAUACAUCGGAACGUGCCCGAUCGUGGGGGAUAACGAGGCGAAAGCUUUGCUAAUACCGCAUACGAUCUACGGAUGAAAGCAGGGGACCGCAAGGCCUUGCGCGGACGGAGCGGCCGAUGGCAGAUUAGGUAGUUGGUGGGAUAAAAGCUUACCAAGCCGACGAUCUGUAGCUGGUCUGAGAGGAUGAUCAGCCACACUGGGACUGAGACACGGCCCAGACUCCUACGGGAGGCAGCAGUGGGGAAAUUUGGACAAUGGGCGCAAGCCUGAUCCAGCCAUGCCGCGUGCAGGAUGAAGGCCUUCGGGUUGUAAACUGAUUUUGUACGGAACGAAAAGCCUUCUUUUAAUACAGGAGGGUCAUGACGGUACCGUAAGAAUAAGCACCGGCUAACUACGUG